RNAcentral lists this ribosomal RNA (503 nucleotides) under uncultured bacterium. Its description in RNAcentral is "partial 16S ribosomal RNA". It matches the Rfam family "Bacterial small subunit ribosomal RNA", at positions 28 to 523 of the family's 1533-position model. The record is from RNAcentral.
GAUGAACGCUAGCGGGAGGCCUAACACAUGCAAGCCGAGCGGGAUUUGAGACUAGCUUGCUAGUCUUAAUGAGAGCGGCGUACGGGUGCGGAACACGUGUGCAACCUGCCUUUAUCUGGGAGAUAGCCUUUCGAAAGGAAGAUUAAUAUCCCAUAAUAUAAUGAUUGGCAUCAAUUAUUAUUGAAAGCUCCGGCGGAUAGAGAUGGGCACGCGCAAGAUUAGAUAGUUGGUGAGGUAACGGCUCACCAAGUCGAUGAUCUUUAGGGGGCCUGAGAGGGUGAUCCCCCACACUGGUACUGAGACACGGACCAGACUCCUACGGGAGGCAGCAGUGAGGAAUAUUGGACAAUGGGUGAAAGCCUGAUCCAGCCAUCCCGCGUGAAGGAUUAAGGACCUAUGGUCUGUAAACUUCUUUUCUACAGGGAUAAACCUACUCUCGUGAGAGUAGCUGAAGGUACUGUAGGAAUAAGCACCGGCUAACUCCGUGCCAGCAGCCGCCGUAA